Molecule: long non-coding RNA, 1208 nt
Filed under: Homo sapiens (human)
Lineage: Eukaryota; Metazoa; Chordata; Mammalia; Primates; Hominidae
Description: HSALNT0332193
Source: RNAcentral
UCCGCUGGGAUCCGGAGAAGCUGACCCUCUCACCGGGGGGUCUUCCCGGGGCGCCUAGGCCAGGGCGGGCCCCCAGCGUCGUCCUCUCCCACCCCCCCACUCCCCUGCCCACACAUUCUGGAUCAAAGCAGACAUGCGGCCGGCGCUCUGCGAUCCAAGGCACACUGGGGUCUUUCAUCCGGUGUUUUUAAAAAGGAGGAAACAAAAGGCUCAGAGGCAGGGCCCCAGGUGCGCUCGCCCGCGGGGGCUGCGGCGCGGACGACCGAAGAAAACCACGACUUCCUGGAAAAGUCUUCACCGUAAAUAUUAAUCUCUUUGGCAUGAAGAGGAAAACACUGCAGCUAAUUUUUCAUGGGAUAACAAAAAUAUAAACUGCAAUUUCUUUUAUUUUUUCCCUUUCGAUGGUCUUUUUAAACGAGGAGUAAAGAUUUCAACGCCAGGUCCAUUUUCCAAAUUUUGUACCAGAACCUUGAGGAUGCUUGUCUCUCGCGCGCUUCUCCGCAGACCGAACCCUCUCCGGAACUCAGAGCUGUUCACCCAAGUCAGCGGAGGAGGCCUCCUGGGACUUGAGCCUGAGGGUGGCGAAGAACCCUAGGCAGAGAUCAUCAACUUGGUACCGAUGAGUGACGCGGAGCUUGAACAUUCCAGCGACUUGCUCCAGGGCCACUCCCAGUUAAGAGGCUGAGUGUUAACUGCAAGAGGCUGAGUGUUAACUACGCCGUUGGCUCCAGGAACCGAACCGGGUUUGGAUACAGACCCAGUCACACCAUCCAUGAAAAGCUGUUUCUAUAAUAUGAAAAAUUGUUAAAUGACGCUUUAGUAAAAGCCAUUUAAAGAUCUUUUCUAAUAAAUUUUUCAUCUUUCCAAACAAUGCCGCUAAUUACCUUCUGAUACAGUGCGUUUCCAAAAUGUUUAUGAACUGAAAACAAAAAUAAAAAACUACAUUUUUAUGUUGUAAAGGGAGUGGGGGGGACUUUCUAAAAUUUGUCGUAUUAUAGCACUUCUCAUGACAACUUGACCCUUUAGGCAUAAUUUUUGACAAAAUGUCUUGUUCUUUUUCUUUUUACAGCUGAACGUCUUAAAUUCAAGGAGUAAACACAUAUAAUGAGAUAAAAGUUUAUCACUGUUAGCACAACCAAUAAUUUGCAUCGUAGUCUCAAUUUCCUCGAAUCUUUAAUAAAACCAAAGUGGUCAAGUGUUUAAAUGAU